This 424-nucleotide ribosomal RNA is filed under the name uncultured bacterium. RNAcentral describes it as "bacterial SSU rRNA". It matches the Rfam family "Bacterial small subunit ribosomal RNA", at positions 355 to 796 of the family's 1533-position model. The record is from RNAcentral.
UGGGGAAUAUUGGACAAUGGGCGCAAGCCUGAUCCAGCAAUGCCGCGUGGGUGAAGAAGGUUUUCGGAUUGUAAAGCCCUUUCGGCGGGGACGAUGAUGACGGUACCCGCAGAAGAAGCCCCGGCUAACUUCGUGCCAGCAGCCGCGGUAAUACGAAGGGGGCUAGCGUUGCUCGGAAUGACUGGGCGUAAAGGGCGCGUAGGCGGCUGUUACAGUCAGGCGUGAAAUUCCUGGGCUCAACCUGGGGGCUGCGUUUGAUACGUGAGGGCUGGAGUUCGGAAGAGGGUCGUGGAAUUCCCAGUGUAGAGGUGAAAUUCGUAGAUAUUGGGAAGAACACCGGUGGCGAAGGCGGCGACCUGGUCCGAUACUGACGCUGAGGCGCGAAAGCGUGGGGAGCAAACAGGAUUAGAUACCCCCGUAGUCC